RNAcentral lists this ribosomal RNA (476 nucleotides) under uncultured organism. RNAcentral's name for it is "partial 16S ribosomal RNA". It matches the Rfam family "Bacterial small subunit ribosomal RNA", at positions 334 to 801 of the family's 1533-position model. The record is from RNAcentral.
CACUCCUGCGGGAGGCAGCAGUGGGGAAUUUUGGACAAUGGGCGAAAGCCUGAUCCAGCAAUGCCGCGUGAGUGAAGAAGGCCUUCGGGUUGUAAAGCUCUUUUGUCAGGGAAGAAACGGUGAGAGCUAAUAUCUCUUGCUAAUGACGGUACCUGAAGAAUAAGCACCGGCUAACUACGUGCCAGCAGCCGCGGUAAUACGUAGGGUGCAAGCGUUAAUCGGAAUUACUGGGCGUAAAGCGUGCGCAGGCGGUUUUGUAAGUCUGAUGUGAAAUCCCCGGGCUCAACCUGGGAAUUGCAUUGGAGACUGCAAGGCUAGAAUCUGGCAGAGGGGGGUAGAAUUCCACGUGUAGCAGUGAAAUGCGUAGAUAUGUGGAGGAACACCGAUGGCGAAGGCAGCCCCCUGGGUCAAGAUUGACGCUCAUGCACGAAAGCGUGGGGAGCAAACAGGAUUAGAAACCCUUGUAGUCCCAUGAU